Molecule: ribosomal RNA, 320 nt
Filed under: uncultured eukaryote
Lineage: Eukaryota
Description: partial 18S ribosomal RNA
Rfam family: Eukaryotic small subunit ribosomal RNA
Source: RNAcentral
CCCUUAGAUGUUCUGGGCCGCACGCGCGCUACACUGACUAGUCCAACGAGUUAUACCCUGGACUCGACAGGUCUGGGUAAUCUUUUAAACGCUAGUCGUGACAGGGAUUGGCUUUUGCAAUUAUGGGCCAUGAACGAGGAAUACCUAGUACACGCGAUUCAUCAAAUCGCGCGGAUUACGUCCCUGCCCUUUGUACACACCGCCCGUCGCACCUACCGAUUGAAUGGUCCGGUGAAACCUCCGGACUGGACACCAGCCCUGUGCUGGUGGCUAGAAAGUUGGUUAAAUCUUACCAUUUAGAGGAAGGUGAAGUCGUAACA